GUGCUCACUUCGGCAGCACAUAUACUAAAAUUGGGACGAUACAGAGAAGAUUAGCAUGGCCCCUGCACAAGGAUGACACACAAAUUCAGGAAGCAUUCCAUAUUUAA
Molecule: small nuclear RNA, 107 nt
Filed under: Camelus ferus (Wild Bactrian camel)
Lineage: Eukaryota; Metazoa; Chordata; Mammalia; Artiodactyla; Camelidae
Source: RNAcentral